This 474-nucleotide ribosomal RNA is filed under the name Triticum aestivum (bread wheat). Its description in RNAcentral is "partial small subunit ribosomal RNA". The record is from RNAcentral. Lineage: Eukaryota; Viridiplantae; Streptophyta; Magnoliopsida; Poales; Poaceae.
AUGUAUGUUAAUCCUGUAGCUUUGCUCAUUUUAUCUUUUGAUUUCAUCUUAGUUAGAAUAUUUUGCCAUGCGUUCAAAAAUUACAUGUUCAUGUGGGUGGAUUGUUUCUCCCGUUGCAACGCACGGGCAUGUUUCCUAGUGUAUAUAAUAAACCAAUCGGUUGCCCUUGGUCGUCCGUCGUGGUUGUUUUGCAAGAAAGCCCCUCAGUUUCCAGGAAAUCAACCCGCCAUCCCUGUUUUAUUACAGAAACAACCCUAUAAGAAUUUCAAUUCAGUCCACAGUCCUUUCCUUCCUCUUAUCCACUCUGCGCCGGCGGCUACGCCCAUUCCGUCGUGCGCCGGCGCCCGACCCGCCGUCGCCGGCGACCACAAGCAACGACCGUUGCACCUCUCCGCGCGCCAGCAUCCUCCUCGACCUCGCCUCUCCGUGCGAACAAACGGCGUCGCCGCCGGCGGCCACGGCCACCAUGCUUGA